Molecule: ribosomal RNA, 250 nt
Filed under: uncultured bacterium
Lineage: Bacteria
Description: partial 16S ribosomal RNA
Rfam family: Bacterial small subunit ribosomal RNA
Source: RNAcentral
UACGAAGGGUGCUAGCGUUGUUCGGAAUCACUGGGCGUAAAGAGUACGUAGGCGGUUUGACAAGUCGAUUGUGAAAGCCCCAAGCUCAACUUGGGAAUUGCGGUCGAAACUGUUAGGCUAGAGUAUGUUGGGGGAUAGUGGAAUUCUUAGUGUAGGGGUGAAAUCCGUAGAUAUUAAGAGGAAUACCGGUGGCGAAAGCGACUAUCUACGCCAUUACUGACGCUGAGGUACGAAAGCGUGGGGAGCAAAC